RNAcentral lists this ribosomal RNA (492 nucleotides) under uncultured bacterium. Its description in RNAcentral is "partial 16S ribosomal RNA". It matches the Rfam family "Bacterial small subunit ribosomal RNA", at positions 29 to 507 of the family's 1533-position model. The record is from RNAcentral.
AGUGAACGCUGGCGGUAGGCCUAACACAUGCCAGUCGAACGGCAGCACAGUAAGAGCUUGCUCUUACGGGUGGCGAGUGGCGGACGGGUGAGGAAUACAUCGGAAUCUACUUUUUCGUGGGGGAUAACGUAGGGAAACUUACGCUAAUACCGCAUACGACCUACGGGUGAAAGCAGGGGAUCUUCGGACCUUGCGCGAUUGAAUGAGCCGAUGUCGGAUUAGCUAGUUGGCGGGGUAAAGGCCCACCAAGGCGACGAUCCGUAGCUGGUCUGAGAGGAUGAUCAGCCACACUGGAACUGAGACACGGUCCAGACUCCUACGGGAGGCAGCAGUGGGGAAUAUUGGACAAUGGGGGCAAGCCUGAUCCAGCCAUACCGCGUGGGUGAAGAAGGCCUUCGGGUUGUAAAGCCCUUUUGUUGGGAAAGAAAAGCAGCAGGUUAAUACCCCGCUGUUCUGACGGUACCCAAAGAAUAAGCACCGGCUAACUUCGUG